This 503-nucleotide ribosomal RNA is filed under the name uncultured Psychromonadaceae bacterium. Its description in RNAcentral is "bacterial SSU rRNA". It matches the Rfam family "Bacterial small subunit ribosomal RNA", at positions 46 to 537 of the family's 1533-position model. Lineage: Bacteria; Pseudomonadati; Pseudomonadota; Gammaproteobacteria; Alteromonadales; Psychromonadaceae. The record is from RNAcentral.
GCUUACACAUGCAAGUCGAACGGUAACAGAGGAUAGCUUGCUAUUUUGCUGACGAGUGGCGGACGGGUGAGUAAUGCUUGGGAAUUUGCCUGAUGGUGGGGGACAACAGUUGGAAACGACUGCUAAUACCGCAUAAUGUCUACGGACCAAAGGUGGCCUCUAUUUAUAUGCUAUCGCUAUCAGAUGAGCCCAAGUGGGAUUAGCUAGUUGGUAAGGUAAUGGCUUACCGAGGCGACGAUCCCUAGCUGGUCUUAGAGGAUGACCAGCCACACUGGAACUGAGACACGGUCCAGACUCCUACGGGAGGCAGCAGUGGGGAAUAUUGCACAAUGGGGGGAACCCUGAUGCAGCCAUGCCGCGUGUGUGAAGAAGGCUUUCGGGUUGUAAAGCACUUUCAGCGAGGAGGAAAGGGUGUUGCCUAAUACGUAACACCUGUGACGUUACUCGCAGAAGAAGCACCGGCUAACUCCGUGCCAGCAGCCGCGGUAAUACGGAGGGUGCAA